This 293-nucleotide ribosomal RNA is filed under the name uncultured bacterium. RNAcentral's name for it is "partial 16S ribosomal RNA". It matches the Rfam family "Bacterial small subunit ribosomal RNA", at positions 505 to 796 of the family's 1533-position model. The record is from RNAcentral.
GUGCCAGCAGCCGCGGUAACACGUAGGGGGCGAGCGUUGUCCGGAUUUAUUGGGCGUAAAGAGCUCGUAGGCGGUUAGACAAGUCGGGUGUGAAAGCUCGAGGCUCAACCUCGAGACGCCACUCGAUACUGUUUUGACUGGAGUCCGGUAGAGGAGUGCGGAAUUCCUGGUGUAGCGGUGAAAUGCGCAGAUAUCAGGAGGAACACCAACGGCGAAGGCAGCACUCUGGGCCGGUACUGACGCUGAGGAGCGAAAGCGUGGGGAGCAAACAGGAUUAGAUACCCCCGUAGUCC